UGGCGGACGGGUGAGUAACGCGUGGAAAACCUGCCGUAUACUGGGGGAUAACACUUAGAAAUAGGUGCUAAUACCGCAUAAGCGCACAGCUUCGCAUGAAGCGGUGUGAAAAACUCUGGUGGUAUACGAUGGUUCCGCGUCUGAUUAGCUUGUUGGCGGGGUAACAGCCCACCAAGGCGACGAUCAGUAGCCGGCCUGAGAGGGUGAACGGCCACAUUGGGACUGAGACACGGCCCAAACUCCUACGGGAGGCAGCAG
Molecule: ribosomal RNA, 258 nt
Filed under: uncultured bacterium
Lineage: Bacteria
Description: partial 16S ribosomal RNA
Rfam family: Bacterial small subunit ribosomal RNA
Source: RNAcentral